CCUGGCUCCGUACGAACGCUGGCGGCGCGCCUAACACAUGCAAGUCGAACGAGAGAGAAGGAGCUUGCUUCUUCGAUCGAGUGGCGAACGGGUGAGUAACGCGUGAGGAACCUGCCUCAAAGAGGGGGACAACAGUUGGAAACGACUGCUAAUACCGCAUAAGCCCACGGGUCGGCAUCGACCUGAGGGAAAAGGAGCAAUCCGCUUUGAGAUGGCCUCGCGUCCGAUUAGCUAGUUGGUGAGGUAACGGCCCACCAAGGCGACGAUCGGUAGCCGGACUGAGAGGUUGAACGGCCACAUUGGGACUGAGACACGGCCCAGACUCCUACGGGAGGCAGCAGUGGGGAAUAUUGCACAAUGGGGGAAACCCUGAUGCAGCGACGCCGCGUGGAGGAAGAAGGUCUUCGGAUUGUAAACUCCUGUUGUUGAGGAAGAUAAUGACGGUACUCAACAAGGAAGUGACGGCUAACUACGUGCCAGCAGCCGCGGUAAAACGUAGGUCACAAGCGUUGUCCGGAAUUACUGGGUGUAAAGGGAGCGCAGGCGGGAAGACAAGUUGGAAGUGAAAUCUAUGGGCUCAACCCAUAAACUGCUUUCAAAACUGUUUUUCUUGAGUAGUGCAGAGGUAGGCGGAAUUCCCGGUGUAGCGGUGGAAUGCGUAGAUAUCGGGAGGAACACCAGUGGCGAAGGCGGCCUACUGGCCACCACUGACGCUGAGGCUCGAAAGUGUGGGUAGCAAACAGGAUUAGAUACCCUGGUAGUCCACACCGUAAACGAUGAUUACUAGGUGUUGGAGGAUUGACCCCUUCAGUGCCGCAGUUAACACAAUAAGUAAUCCACCUGGGGAGUACGACCGCAAGGUUGAAACUCAAAGGAAUUGACGGGGGCCCGCACAAGCAGUGGAGUAUGUGGUUUAAUUCGACGCAACGCGAAGAACCUUACCAAGUCUUGACAUCCCUUGACGGACAUAGAAAUAUGUUUUCUCUUCGGAGCAAGGAGACAGGUGGUGCAUGGUUGUCGUCAGCUCGUGUCGUGAGAUGUUGGGUUAAGUCCCGCAACGAGCGCAACCCUUAUGGUCAGUUACUACGCAAGAGGACUCUGGCCAGACUGCCGUUGACAAAACGGAGGAAGGUGGGGAUGACGUCAAAUCAUCAUGCCCUUUAUGACUUGGGCUACACACGUACUACAAUGGCGUUAAACAAAGAGAAGCAAGACCGCGAGGUGGAGCAAAACUCAGAAACAACGUCCCAGUUCGGACUGCAGGCUGCAACUCGCCUGCACGAAGUCGGAAUUGCUAGUAAUCGUGGAUCGGCAUGCCACGGUGAAUACGUUCCCGGGCCUUGUACACACCGCCCG
Molecule: ribosomal RNA, 1356 nt
Filed under: uncultured bacterium
Lineage: Bacteria
Description: bacterial SSU rRNA
Rfam family: Bacterial small subunit ribosomal RNA
Source: RNAcentral